UCAAGAAGAAAUUAGUUAUUUAGGGAAGUUUAGGGACUGGAAACACCCUGGAAAUGGGCAAUGUCAACAUAAUGCUGAUCAUGCUGUAGGAUGCUGAAGAAUAGGGAUUAAAAUAAACAAGCAACAGAGAAUAAACAAUAAAACUUAAGCAGAUAAGGAAUAUACUACUGUUUGAUUCUUCAAAUAAUGUGUAGAAAGGUAGAAUUGUGGAUGGGUUGGGAAUUAGGCUGCUCAAGGCUAGUUAAAAAGAGAGAGGAAGCCAUAAACUGGCUACCAGCCCUUCUUGUCAGACAGUCUCAUAGGAAACUCCACACUGGGCAUUGUUCUUAGCACAAAACUUCAGUUAGAUUUUUGCAAACUUAUUUCUACCUUGUUCUGUGAAUGCCUAUAUUACGUUACAAUUAUAAGUCAUAUGAUUAUUGUCACAGAACACACAAUAUACUCUAAUUUCUACCAAAGGAAAUGGAUACAAAAAUUACAAAGCCAGAUACAGACUGAUUUUCAGGUAGCUAACAGAGCCAGUUCAUUUGGCUCAGAUUUCCAACACUUUGCCUGGCUUCAUGGAGAAUCUUCUAGAUUAGCCUCACUGUUCCUGAGUAAGCAGACUUACUCUGUUAGCAUAGUAUCUUCCAGCCAUGUUAAGAAGACAUCCCUCUCAUAUUCUAAGAAACAGCUAAUAAUUUGAACUAUAAGGGCCCUGAUUAUCUCGUAUCCAACAUACAGAAAAUCAGCUAAGCAAUCACCGAAGUUUUAGCCUCUGUGAACACUUAGUGCAAGAAUUUUACCAAGACAUAAAAUGAAAAUUGAUAAUCAUCUUCAAAGAAUAUGUGUUCCUUUACUUCAGUUGAAGGAAUCUUGUCAAGGCUGAUAAUUGGCUACUGUUGGGACUAUUUUCCAGAGUUCUUCUUCUCUUCCUUUUACAAAGUACCCUCAGGCAUUUUCAGAAAUGUCUAAAUCUCUUUCUAUUGAGAUUCAGGAACAGCCUUUGUGCUUCAGUGUCUAUUCCUUCCCAACUUAUUCUGAGUUAACUUAUUUGAAAUUAAAAAGAAGACAAGAUUGUCUGAAUCCCUCGGUGGUGAUUCUGACCCGGUUCCUUAUAUUAAUCUUAUUUUUUAUAUGUUACAGGUCCUAUAAUGACCACCAGUACUGCAAGAGCUCUACACAGGAUUCUCAGGAGAGGUUGUAACAAAUGCAGGCCUGUUGCUUCAUUUAACAAAAGCUGUGAAGGAGAAAACAAACGACCGGUUAUGAGGAGUGGGAUGAGGAUGAAGAAAGCAAUGGCUCUAGAGAAGGCUCCCGAGAACUGAUGCCUGAGUGAAUGCUAAAACCCAGUGAACUAGACGAUGGUUGUGAAACAUCUAGACAGAGCUUUCUAAAGUUUGUGAAACUCUGUGGCAGAGACCAAGAAGCUCAAAGGAGAGCUGGCUGCUAACACUGUGUAAUUACUUAAGCAUUUAAGAUUUCCUACAAACUGUGUGCAAGGAGGAAGAAGAAACCAAACAAGAACAAACUCCCAGAAAAGAGAAGUGGUAGAAAGCAAACACGUAAAUAGCCUAUAAAAGAUUCUAAAAGUGACAGCUCAGAUAGCUAAGAGUUCCUGUUAUUCAUAUACAUUUGAAAAUAUUCUACUGUCAAAUCCUCAAUAAGAAUUCAAUAAUGUAUAUGCCAAGAGCUUAAAGGCUUAUAGUCAAUAACACAGCAGUGAAUCAGAGGUCUUUUAAUGUAAAAUUUAGACACUGGGUUAUUAAAAAUCAAGGGUCAUGAUAGAAUGUGGGAAAAUAUUCUUAUGGGACAGAAGCAGUGUUUAUUCUUGGGUUUUGUGGUUACUUAGAAUCAUUUUCUUUCAGUUCAACUAUAAGCUACAGUAAAUAUUUAUAAUUUUUCAUUGAAUUUUCAGCUUAUCAUCUUGCUUGGUUUAAACUUUGAUACUAUUUGUCAAUAACUUAACAGAUAGAAAAAUUGUAUUUCAGUCUUUGAAUUUUGAUUUUCCUGUAUAUGCUUGAAAGGAGUGUCAUAACAUUUAAUGAUCACAGUUUACAAAUUUAGCAAAUAGCAAAUCUCUCUAAGCAUCAGAAAGUAGAGACAAAGAAGACAAAAAUCUUAGUCUAAGCAUAUGUUUCAGAUGAUGUUAAAAUGCAGAAUUAUAUCCAUAUCAAGGUAAAAUACAAAAUACUACUAUAUUAUCUCUAAAACGUUUCCAUUCCUAAAUUUCCCAUUGUCCUCUUAAAAGUUAUUGAAACCUAUGUCAAGUGUAUAUAAAAAUAAAAUGUAUUUUGUCCAAAAUAAUUACUACCUGCCUUGUACUGGCAUGGGUGAGAAAGAGAUGUCCCCACCCCCACCCUGCCUAUGGCACUCAGGACAGCUAGUCCCAAUAUCAUGAAAGCAAGAGAGCUGAUCAGUCCCUGCCUCUCUGUCUGCCUGCAGUAGUUGGGAGAGUGGUUCCUGCACCUUUCCUGGGAAAGAUAGUAGAGCUGGCCCUGCUGGCUGGCUGGGUGUUGCCCAAGGGCAUGAGAACUAAAGAGCUGGCCCUGACUCCUUGCUGGCUUUCAUAUUGGGUGAGCUGGCUGGGGCGAUGCUGAAGAUCUCACACUAGUGGUGAGGGUGCAGAAGAGCUGACCACCUGACCAACUCAGGUUCAACUCAGGCUCAGAUCCAGGGCUUUGAGUUGGCCCAUCCCAACAUCUAUCCCACUUAUGAACUGCAGGAGCAGGGGAAGGAGCUGGCCCUAGAGAUCCAAAGCUGCAGGAUCUCCAUGAUAUGGGCAACAACAGGACAUCCAAGAAGAGUCCCGGUAAAGAUUCAGUAUUGAUAGUAUAGCAGAAACGAGAGGCCUUGAAGCAUACCAAUAACUUAUUGCAAUGAACAUUUGCAAGUACAGAUGAGUGAACAAAUGGCACACUGUGUGACACACUGUGACACACUACAGGUUUCAUGGUGAGACAGAGUAGUUGGGAUGUUUCUUUCUUUUUCUUUUCUUUUGUGUGAAGUUGUGAGGGUGGAGGGCAGACAUGGGGGAGCAGGGAGAUGAGUUGGGUUGGGCUGCAUGAUGAGAAAUCCACAAAGAACCAAGAGAAAGUUUUGAAAAAUCAACUUCAUAAGGAAAGAAAUGUUCAGUGUGUAUUUUAUCUUAACUCUAGUUCGUAAAAAGAGACAAUAAAUUAAAGUAUAUGCUACAGAAUAGUGUUUAUAAAGAUGAAGGCAGUUGCAUAUUAUCACCUGACUUAGAAGUGUAUAAAAUAUACUUAGCUCCAUUAUAUACACCUAAGAUACAUUUAAUUGUUUCCCCUGUGAUUUCACAUCCUGUCAUUACUAAAUGGCGAUAACUUCUUUCAGAGGUGAUUUAAUGAGGAUGCUUAUCAUUAGGAGAAGUACAUGGAAGCCCUCACUCUUUGAACCCUGACUUACUAACAUAUGAACUUUGAGAAAGUUGAUGAGAUGAAAUACAUUCUGUGUCUGUUGCUUAGAGCAAUCAACGGAUCAAAACAUUGAUUUUAUAAAGUGGAUUUGAAAACAUUAAACAAAAUGCUGAGGUAGAUGGUUUUAUUUACUUUCGCUUCUCCUAAAACAAUGUUUCCACACCAGAUAAAAGUAAGGAGCAUUAGAAUUUCAUAGAUGGGGCAGUAUAUGUAAUUAUUCUUCACAAAGGCCAACUUUGAAAGCAAUGAAAAGUGAAAUAGUGACUAAUAUCAGAAUACAUUUGAAUAGGAAAAAAGUCUCCAAAAGUCAGUGUUCCAGAUCAGACUGUCAGUCCAAGGUCACAGAGGAUUUCACUUUGUGGCAAACAGGUUCCAAAGUUCCCGAGCUUCUGCAUAGUGAAAUAACACAUGCAUACCUAUAUAGACACAGCGCUCUCAUUGCAACUGUGUACCUACAGUUUGUUACGUCUGAUAAACAGGAAAAUUCAUAGAGGGAUGAAGCCUUUUGCAAGAUAUAUGUAACAGUAUGGCCUGGUUUUCAUGACUGAAAAAUUUACAAAUUAUGGUGCCACAGCAAAGGAGCCUUAUAAUCUCAACUACAUAUACAUUUGUUUAUAAUAAACACUUACUUAUGAAAGUAUAGAAGACUAGAAACACUGUAUUAUGUGCCCAAUAGUUAGAUUAGGAUAGAAGUAGUUAGAGUGGAAACACAAAUAUGCCCUUAUGCUAAAUGCAAAGGGUAUCAAUAUCAGAUGGAGAUAUUGUCGGUUUUAGGACAAGAAGGAUUGUUAAAGUUAAAUAACCAAGCAGCUGCUUAAGGUAAGUGAAAUGUAUUUUGUUCCUAAAACUAGAUAAAAUUUCUCAUGUGUCUCAUGUUGAGGGAGAGACAGAAAGCUCAAAUACAAUUCUACAAAUCUCAAGGUAAGCAAUCUAUUUCCUUGAACUAGCAUUUUCUUCUGUUAGAGGUUUUAAAACACUGAGAUACACUUUGUAAAUAGACUUCUAGAAUGGCAAUGAGAAAGUACUUUUCCAUUCGUGACUUUUUUAGAAUUUCAUGGUUCAUAAAAAUCACUCUUCUCCCAUGGAAGCUAAUGUGGUUGUCUUUACGCAUGCGCGCGUGCACACACACACACACACACACACACACACCCCAAAGUUCAAAGUCUCUUUUAAAAUACUGGGCACAUAGUAUCUUUGGAAGUCAUUAUGUAGAAAGAUGAGAAAUUAUCAAUACAUGUGAAAACCAGAACAGGAUUACGUGUGAAUUAGUAACUGAGCAUCACAGGCCCAGCUAAGGUGAGUAUAGUAUAGUUCUAGUUUUCCCAGAGUUAAAGGUUUCAUUUUUAAUCUAUUUCAGACACAACUCAGAAUGUUUAUGGCUGACAGCCAUUUUUUGAUUCCAUGGAGGCAAAGACUACACAGGAUGCUUCUAUGAGGAAGAACAGCAUAACACAGUUAGAUACCCAAUCCUGUUCUGAAGUCCAGAACAGCUUCAUCCUGUUGCCUUCUCAUCACAGAAGCAGUCAUACUGCAGCAGUGACAGGCACCUUGCUGCUCCAAGGAGAGCUCUUCAGAAGAACGGCAGCCUCCAGCACUGAUAGGGAAAGGGGCGGGGGGGGGGAGCAGCUAUAAAGUGAUGGCUCUUCAAGGAAAUAAAUGUUAUGUGCUUAUUCACAUCUGCUUGACCUAGAAAUACUUCAACUCAAAAGGUUUAGAAAAUGCCCUCAGAAAGCCGUAUUAAGUAUCGAUCUCUCGUGAAUAUAUAAGAAAAGCCUUUCUCAAGCAAUACACUGCUAUGCUUUUAGGAGUUUAUACAUAAAUGUCUUUUUCACAAAAUUAGAAAAAAAUAUAAAAAACUAUGUCAAAGCUUAAAAACAAAUUUAUUUUAUAGGCAUGUAUUUUAAUUUAGUUAAAUAUCAGGAAUUUCCAUUGGUGUCUUUAGCCUCAUUAAAUCAUCUAAUGAUCUUCUCAGAAUUCUGCUUUGUCAUGAUAAUUCAUAUUUGUAUAUGUGUGUACUAAUUUUUAAAACAGAGACUGAAUGUACAAAAAUCCAAAAUAGAAUACCCUUGUUAUGAUUCAAGUUUAAUUUACACUUUUUAACAAAAUCAAAAUUCAUACUAACCUGAAAAGUAAAAUAGUGGAGAAAAUAUUCAAAAUAAUUAUAUAAGAUUUAACUUUUCAGAGUUGUGUAAGGUUAUAAAACUAUUAUGUUCACUUUAUUAGCCAUCUAUCACAUUAAAAGGAACUUCUUUGAGAUAAACACUCAUGUAGCCUGGUUGGCAUCAAGUUCACUGUAAAGUUGAAGGUGACUUGAAGUCCUGAUUCCCUCCAUUCACCUUCCAGUUCCUUGUAUUAUUAACAUGUGAGCCAACCUAGGCUUCCAUCCUUACUAUUGGGUUUAUUACCAAAUAUCAACCUAAAGUAAGUUAGCCCAGAUAUUAGGGAUGAACACAAUGGGUUGUUAUUGCUGUUGCUGUUGUUGUUAUUGUUGUUGUUGUUGUUGUUGUUAUUGUUUAAGGCAUGCAAAGUGAAGAGCUAUUCUCAAUGAAGAAGAAACACAGUGAUUGCAGUUCAAAUGUCACUGAUCAUACUCAAGAAAGUUAGAGUAGUCUUUUCUUCCAUGAGACAUGCCUUCCAGAUAUCUCCAAGCUUUAAACUAUGUACGGUAGCACAGAAUGUGGAAAUAGCAGACAGAGAAUUGAGUGGUUAUUUCAUAUUUUUAAAUUAACCUUUUGAUUUUUCUGAGCUACAAUUUAGACUCACCAAAUGAAAAUAUAAUAUUGAUCACAUAACCCGGCUUGAUGUUCAGAAGAGAAAUAUUUGCAGGAUGAAAACAGCUGUGUUAAAUGUAUCAGUUUGAAAAUUAUUUUCUUUGAAGAAGAUAUAAACCUGCCAUUUUCCAAAAGAGCAGGUAGCCAGAGAUCAGAGAAUUAAGAGAGCAUAUGACCAUGAGGUUUCUUACACUUUUUCAUCUUACAGUCCUAGACAGUGUCUCUGGUGAACUCUAAGCUUAGAGCAAGCAGAAUUAAUAAUAUCCCUAACCAGAGGUACUUUCAAUGAAUAGGUUAAAUAGUGGGAUUAUUUUCAAUGUAUCUUUAAAGAAAAUAUUCAACCCAUUUUUUAACCUAAAGUAUGUUAAAAAUGAUUACAACAAAACACUACAAUGAAAUCCAAUUCCCAGCCCAAGGAUUUGCUACCCUGCAAAACCUGAGAACUGGGAGCUAUGCCCACACAGCUACCUCUCAUGCCUUGCUGAGCCAGGAUUUGAACUAUAUCUGAUUGUAUACACAAUCCAUGCAACUAAUACCAUGAAAGAAAUCCACAUGAAAGCUCCCAAGGUUGUUAGAUGGAUAUAGGGUGGUCGGUGCCUUUGCAUAUCUCUGGCUUCUAAUAUGUUGGUGGGGAUCGAAUGUUUCAAUUAAUAGCUAAGUCUAAACUUUAGCUUCUCUUCCUCUGAUAGGCAUUGCCAUUGAAAUAAGAGUCUUUGGAAGUACAUACAGAAAUAUUGUAUUUUUAAAGUUUUGGGGGUUUAUUUUUUUUUUAUAUUUCAUCUUGGCUUAGGAGCACUCUAUGAUACCUUUUUAAAGGCACAACGUAUGACCAUAGAUUAUAAUAUUUUUUACAGCCAACCUAAAAAUAACUUAUCUAUAUCUAUAUCAAGACAACUCCCAAGACAUAUGAUACAAGUUUUUAAUACUUAGAAUCCGAAGGAGUAUGGUGAUGUUUGAGAGACUCCUCAUCCCUGAAAGUGCUCAUUCUCUGGUUAGCUUAGAAUCCUCUACUCGGUUUUAUUUAAAAUAUGAGAUUUCCCAUAAUUUUCACUUUCACAAACGAAAAAGACUUAGCCAAAGAAAAAAAUAUAUAUGCUAGUAAAACUUCCAUAUUAAAAUCUACAUUCUUUUAAUGAGGUAACUUUGAUUAUCAAAGUUUUAAAAGCUAAGAAUCACAGAGCACGGGCAAUGUUCAACUAUUAAUCUUACAGCAUUUGAUUGUGUUAGGUGAGCAUUUGCUCACCUAGUAAAUCAAAAGUUAAAGUGCAUGUUCUCAAAAAAUCCAGAGAUCUGAACCAAAGCAAAUGGUCAUUUCCUUAAGUACCUUAAAGCUGUAUGUCUGCUGAGUUGCAUUUUACCUGAAAUCCCAAUCUGUAUGAGAAAUAAAUUACUAAAUAUCCUACAAAAAGAAUGUCCCAAAAGAUGCGCACUGAUUUAUCAUCUUACAACAUUAAGCCAUCUUGCAGAGCUGUGAUUUUGAGCUUAUAAAUCUUGAAAUAUCCUUUUUACUGCAACUUCAACAUUUGAUGUAUCUUCAGUUGGUAAAGUCUGGAGAUCAGCAAAGUUGUAAUAGCCAGUAGGAGCUUUGAAUCCGAACUUACUAAUGACAGCAAUUGACUGAAGAUCCUCAAAUGUAUCUAUACAAGUCUUCUCACAAUAGCAAUCUUGUCCUAGUGCUCUUUCCAUACAUAUUAAAUAUAUCUCUUUGUUCAACUAUAAAUAAUGCCUCCCCUCUAUCACUUAAAGUUUACUUCACUUCAAUUAACUGCAUUUCCGGAUUUAAAAAAGAUCUAUAUUCUAUUCCUCGGGACUCACAAGGCAAAACUGGUCCCAACACGUUGGCCUCUGACCUCCACCUGUGCACCCCUGCAGUUCACACAUCUACACACACAGAAUAAAGCAAACACACAACAAAUUAUGUAGUGACAAAAACUCAAAGAAAAAAAUGGUAAUUCCUAUACAUGCAUUGAUAGGAGAAUUUUACUCUUCAAUAACUUAGCCACUUCCUGGAAUACCCUUUACCUAUCCUUCCUCAGAAAAUUUAUUUUUGAGCUGAUUAUAUAUAUAUAUUACAUACUUCAUGAGGCUUUGAUGUAUGCUUACAUUGUAAAGUGACUAAGACAUAACUAAUAUAAAAUUACAUACUGUAACAUAUUUUACAAAAUAUAAAUGUAAGUUUCAAAUGUCUCACCACACAAAAUAUGAGGUAAGAAACAUGGAAGUUAGCUCUGUAUUGAAAACAUAAUCUUAAAACAUCCUGUUGUUUCCCUUAAAGGCACACAGUGCUCAUUUACUAAUUAAAAGUCAAGUGAAAUUACUAUUAAAUCUCUGCAUAGUUCCUGCUAUCAAAAAAGUUCAAACUGGACACACCUGGCGAGAAACUAUAACUCCUAUAGAUGUUAUGUCAAAUAGCCACUGUUCACAUAUAUGUUUCCUUAUUCUUAACCAAAAAGUGUCAAUAUAAAAAGCAGGUUGCUAAAAAUAUGGCAUGUGUUGGAGAGUACUAUUUUUCACUAUGGAAUGACUAACAUAAAAACUACCACCUACUUGCACUCUUGCAAAGCCUCCUACACUGCACCAAGCUCCACUUUCCUGGGCUGAGUGUCUUAUUGAUGAAACAAAAAAAAUCAUUUUUAGAAUGCCUCUAAGUGCCAAAACUCUUAUUUGAUUGAAUUGUAGACAAAUGUACUAUGGUAUGUGUUAUAGACUUCUUCAUUUUGGAAUAAAUCACUUGUUUAAAUAUAUGCAAGCUUUUGCUGGGUAAUCAUUUCUUUCUCAUACAGUACUUUCCUAAUGACCUAAUUGUAUCAUUCUGGGAGGGUUUUGCCUUGCCUAUAUAGGUCAAGUUUCAAGUUCUUAGCUGACAAAAUUGUGUUCAAUUUAAAGAGAUAACAUUAAGCAACUGCAGCCUGUGUUUAUCACAUUUACUUCAACAAUUAAAUUACCCGUAUUAAAAAGUUGGUUUAUGCAUAGCAGGAUAAACUGGUUUACCAUUUUGUCUUUAAAAAGGAAUUUUAAAAAUAGAAUCACAUUUUAAUGCUAUUCCAGUAGUAGGAAAUAUUUUUAACUUCUAACCAGUUUUUUCUUUAAAGAAAACUUGAAAACAAAUAAGUAAGAGCUUACUCUAAAUAUAAUAUUAAAUGUACUAUAUACUCUUGGAGGUUUUCAUGUUGCUUAUACACAUGCAAAUUUAGAUUAUCCAAGAAUAAAUUAUUUGCAUUUAAAAGCAUACCUUUCUACAUACCAAUACAGGAAAACAGAACCUGUUCUAAGACUCAAUGUGCUCAUAAUCUUAACCAUAAUUUAUUCAUGCUCAGCGUUUCGUAAUCAUAAACUAUCCCUAUAGAGAACAUAUUUUAAAGUGGCCACUCUGGGCAUCAAUUGUAGUUUUGUUCUAUGAUGUAAGGUCAGUUGUUUCAAAGGGAGAAAGGGAAACGGCUCAAUACAAGCCGGAGUUAAUACUCACAUAUCAAAUCGUCAGAGGCACUCAGUGCCCUGCACCUAGAGCUAUUCCAGGGCUGAGGAUACUCUUUCUAAUAUCAAUAUUCAUUAACUCCCACAUCUCCAAAACAGCAACCCAUAUUCUGGGUUGUUUGAUGUUGUCUCUUCUCUAAAACAAACACAGAGGCAAAAUCCAGAGCAAAGUUUAUACAUUCAAACAGAAACAGAUCAAAGAGAAAAGAAGAGACCAACACUCUUUGACGGGGAACUGGGUCCCUUUUCACCACAGUUCUGGCUCAUCAGAAGCUUCUGUGUAGAACAGAAGAUGAAAAUAUCCUCGCCUUCAUUAGCAAGUUUCACACACAUAGCUGUAUCUCAAUUAUCCACCAAUAAUCGCUUAAUAUGCAUCUUGAUGCAUGUUGUAUUUGUGAUUGUGAUAGCAAUGAUUUCACAUCUAAUUAUCAAAAGCUAAGCUUUAGUAUUUCCAGUUGAUUCAUAAAGCAUAUUGACUGAACAACAUAUAGGAAAUACCAAUGCCACAUACUCGGCACAAAUAUAUACACAUACAUAAAUAUCCUUGUCAAAUGUCCUAAAGAGGAAACAGUUUACCCUGAAACAAAGAUGAAGACUAGCACAAUCUUCUAACAAUACUGAUGAUUUCAAACUGAGCUAGACUGGCUUACUAUAAUACUCUAUACAUUUGCUUAUUUAUCCAAAGCCUGGAAGUAAUUUCCAGGUCCUUCAAAGCAUCAUAAACACUAAAGUUUAUGUAGCUAUGCCUUAAUAAAAGUGCCAUUGGAAUGGAGGGGAAUAAUAAAUAUCAAAACAUCAAAUGAUACUGCCACAUAUAUGUCCUAAGAAUUUUUACUCCCAUUUGUCCACUGAUCACCAGGGAAGGUUGUCUAAUAUAAAGACAGCCUAGUUUUUGUUUUUUUUUUUAAUACAAGGAAACUUUUAUUUUCAGUUCUCAUCAAGAAAUUUGCUGUGGUUUUCUUUUUCUUUUUUUUUUUUUUCCAACUUUAUUUAGCUGCACAGUGGCUGGAGCCGCUGGGUUCCUGGUAUUAAAAAGAUGCCAACAGAGGUAGCUGUGUUUCGCCCAGGGACCCGGCCCACUCUGAAUACCCCACAAAAAGGAGAAAACACAAAGUAAACCAAAAAAAAGAACCAAAAAGAGGAAGAAAUUCAGAUCAUUUUCUUCGAGCCUGUCAGAACCCACAACAGUUUGUAACAGGCGCACGGUGGGGAGAAGCCAGGGUCCAGAAGGCAGCCAGCCCGCCAGCUCCUCCAUAGAAUAAUUUGCACCAGAGAAACCUAAGACGCUGCUAUAAGAAAGCCAUUCCUCCAUGUGAUGCCAUCACAGACCACAUGAUUUUCAGAGGUUAAGUACUCUAGAUAUGACAUCAACUAUUCCCUUAUAAGGCUUGACUACAUUGUCUCCCUCCCUUAUUAGCUCUGACUCUCACAGAAAUAUAACCUGAUUGAACUUUUCAGCAGUUUCCAUAGAACUUUUCUUCUAGCAUCCCUUCAUUUCUUCCCAGCCAUCCUCAAAAGUCUCUUUGCACCAAAGCCUUCUAGUCCUUUACCCGAGACUGCACAGUCGCAAGGUCUAGGACAUGGUGUCUGUAAGACCCACAGUGUAAUGUGUAGUAGCUUUAAGGUUAAGUUUGUGUCAUUGGCUAACACCAGACAAAAGUUUCCAUGGUGAACAUGUUGCUGCUGUUCAUGUAAACAGUGUUGUGUCUAUGUGCUCAGGAAUUCACAAGUAGAAACCUAAGGGGUGAGGGGUGGGUGUCAUGGGAAAUGAUGAACUCAUAUGUUUUCCUUCGAUUUCUUGUAUCAAAAUGUUCUUUGUGCCAUACACUAUUGUAAGGGGGAAAAAUUAGCAAUUACUUGGUUCUUCAUACUAAACAUCUCACAAUUCUGCAUUCUUUUCGUGUAAAGCCUACUCCCUCUCUCAAAUCAUGAGGGUGUUUGGGGACUGCAGCAAGUGAUCUUUUCAAGUCCAAGGCAAUGUGUCCUGUCUCGAUUCAAUAGAGAGGUAACAGGACAUUUCCAUCCAGGCCAAGGUCUAUUGACUGUGACCUUGGCCAAAGCACAAGACCUUGUUUGCCAACUUUAAACUGGAAUAUCAAAUCUGCUUCUUCCCCACUUCAUCUCCUCCAAGGAACACAGAAGCUUGGAUUGAAGUACUAUCUAUGGUGUAUUCAAACAGGCCCCACUCCCUGGGGCUAAAAGCACAGCCCAGUACCAGAGGGUUCUACAUACUUUUUCCUCUUGUGGCUUGGUAGCCACAAGGUGACAUGUGCACCCACUGGGGAUGGACAGGCUUAGGGACUCCAUCAGAGCAAGCUGCAGAGGAUUUCCCAUACCCUCUACUCACCUUCUUUUACAAACCCAUUUACCUGACUCUACUUAGCAAACCUCUAAUGGUCAAGUUUCCCCAGCAGGAAGAGAUGUCUUAAAAGUCCUCACCGGAACAAAGUCCUUACAUGUAGUAGAUCUCUAGUAACCCCCCUCCCACCCACCCACCCGAAGCAGAAUGGUUAUGUACCAAAUGACUGGAGGAGGAGUAGGGUGAAUAUGUAUGCAUAUUUAACACGCCAGCAUCUCCUCAUUUCAGCUUUAUCAUCUAAGAGUGAGCGGGACAUUUAAAUUAUUUUGCGAUUUUUUUUUUAAGUUCUUUCUUUUCAUAUCUGCCCUGCUGGUAGAGAUACCCACCAGGAGAGUGGCGAAUUCGUGGCCUGGGCGCUCUGAGGCCACUUCAGGACAGGAUUUUCCUUGUCCAAUUACACUAGGGCAGCAGGAGGCCUGUGAUUGGACAGGGGAAAGGGAGGCGGAGCUAAGCGGUGCAGGAACAGAGAGCAUUUCAGAAGGGACAGGAGGAAGGCAAAAUGGAGGCAGAUGCAAACCAGCCAGCCACAGGUGUCACCAGCUUCUGUCCAUUGGUUGGGUGCAAAUAUCUCCAUUUGACUCUUUCAGCUGUUUGUUUGGCCUUUUGGGGAGCAGUUAUAAUAGGCUCCUGUUUGUAAGGACAACAUGGUAUCAGUAAUAGAGCCACCAACCAGGCAGCAUACACCAACUGAUAUGAGGACCCCAACAAAUAUACAGAAGAAGACUGCUGGGUCUUUACUCAAUGAGAAAAGAAGCACCUAACCCUCAAGAGACCUGAGGCCCCAGGGAGUGAGGAGGUCUGUGGGUGGGGGGAGGGGACAUCCUCUUGGAGACAAGGGCCAGGGAUUGGGGGUGGAGGUAUGGAAUGUGGAACAAUCAGAGGGCAGACUAUGAGGAGGAUAAAGACUGGACUGCAAAAAAAAUAAAGAAAGAAAGAAUACAAAUAAAA
Long non-coding RNA from Mus musculus (house mouse), 12968 nucleotides. RefSeq annotates it as predicted gene, 40493. Lineage: Eukaryota; Metazoa; Chordata; Mammalia; Rodentia; Muridae. The record is from RefSeq and is a predicted model, not a curated record. The transcript has 3 exons.